This 324-nucleotide ribosomal RNA is filed under the name uncultured eukaryote. RNAcentral describes it as "partial 18S ribosomal RNA". It matches the Rfam family "Eukaryotic small subunit ribosomal RNA", at positions 1470 to 1796 of the family's 1831-position model. The record is from RNAcentral.
CCCUUAGAUGUUCUGGGCCGCACGCGCGCUACACUGAUGCAUUCAACGAGUUUCUUCCUGGUCCGAGAGGAAUGGGUAACCUUUUGAAAGUGCAUCGUGAUAGGGAUAGACUAUUGCAAUUAUGGGUCUUCAACGAGGAAUUCCUAGUAGACGUAGUUCAUCAGACUGCAUCGAUUACGUCCCUGCCCUUUGUACACACCGCCCGUCGCUCCUACCGAUUGAAUGCUCAGGUGAGCCAUUCGGACUUUCAUCAUGCUGGUUUCCAGUUUUGAUGAAGGAAAGUCUUGCGAACCUUAUCAUUUAGAGGAAGGAGAAGUCGUAACA